This 87-nucleotide transfer RNA is filed under the name Rubellimicrobium sp. RNAcentral describes it as "tRNA-Leu". It matches the Rfam family "tRNA". From Rfam's summary of the family: Transfer RNA (tRNA) molecules are approximately 80 nucleotides in length. Their secondary structure includes four short double-helical elements and three loops (D, anti-codon, and T loops). Further hydrogen bonds mediate the characteristic L-shaped molecular structure. tRNAs have two regions of fundamental functional importance: the anti-codon, which is responsible for specific mRNA codon recognition, and the 3' end, to which the tRNAs corresponding amino acid is attached (by aminoacyl-tRNA synthetases). tRNAs cope with the degeneracy of the genetic code in two manners: having more than one tRNA (with a specific anti-codon) for a particular amino acid; and 'wobble' base-pairing, i.e. permitting non-standard base-pairing at the 3rd anti-codon position. Lineage: Bacteria; Pseudomonadati; Pseudomonadota; Alphaproteobacteria; Rhodobacterales; Roseobacteraceae. RNAcentral also lists the same sequence under 1 other name. The record is from RNAcentral.
GCCGGUGUGGCGGAAUGGUAGACGCAGCGGAUUCAAAAUCCGCCGAGGCAACCCCUCGUGAAGGUUCGAGUCCUUUCACCGGCACCA